RNAcentral lists this ribosomal RNA (497 nucleotides) under uncultured bacterium. RNAcentral's name for it is "partial 16S ribosomal RNA". It matches the Rfam family "Bacterial small subunit ribosomal RNA", at positions 28 to 507 of the family's 1533-position model. The record is from RNAcentral.
GACGAACGCUGGCGGCGUGCCUAAUACAUGCAAGUUGAGCGAUGAAGCUUGGUGCUUGCCCCAAUUUGAAGAGCAGCGAACGGGUGAGUAACGCGUGGGGAAUCUGCCUUUGAGCGGGGGACAACAUUUGGAAACGAAUGCUAAUACCGCAUAACAACUUUAAACAUAAGUUUUAAGUUUGAAAGAUGCAAUUGCAUCACUCAAAGAUGAUCCCGCGUUGUAUUAGCUAGUUGGUGAGGUAAAGGCUCACCAAGGCGAUGAUACAUAGCCGACCUGAGAGGGUGAACGGCCACAUUGGGACUGAGACCAGGCCCAAACUCCUACGGGAGGCAGCAGUAGGGAAUCGUCGGCAAUGGACGAAAGUCUGACCGAGCAACGCCGCGUGAGUGAAGAAGGUUUUCGGAUCGUAAAACUCGGUUGGUAGAGAAGAACGUUGGUGAGAGUGGAAAGCUCAUCAAGUGACGGUAACUACCCAGAAAGGGACGGCUAACUACGUG